UACGAAGGGGGCUAGCGUUGUUCGGAAUUACUGGGCGUAAAGCGCGCGCAGGCGGUCUUCCAAGUCAGUGGUGAAAGCCCGGAGCUCAACUCCGGAACUGCCAUUGAAACUGUGAGACUAGAGUACGAGAGAGGUGAGUGGAAUUCCCAGUGUAGAGGUGAAAUUCGUAGAUAUUCGCAAGAACACCAGUGGCGAAGGCGGCUCACUGGCCCGGUACUGACGCUGAGGUGCGAAAGCGUGGGGAGCAAACAGG
RNAcentral lists this ribosomal RNA (253 nucleotides) under uncultured bacterium. Its description in RNAcentral is "partial 16S ribosomal RNA". It matches the Rfam family "Bacterial small subunit ribosomal RNA", at positions 524 to 776 of the family's 1533-position model. The record is from RNAcentral.